This is a long non-coding RNA of Aphis gossypii (cotton aphid), 2067 nucleotides long. RefSeq lists it as uncharacterized. The transcript has 3 exons. The record is from RefSeq and is a predicted model, not a curated record. Lineage: Eukaryota; Metazoa; Arthropoda; Insecta; Hemiptera; Aphididae.
AUGACCCUAUUAUAGAUAUAACAGAUCAAGUGAUAUUACAAAACAAGCUGAUGUGAUAAAUGCCGUUUAUAAAACCGUCAGCUUCACGCAGUACGUUUAUAGUAAAUUCACAACGUCAGCCAGAGCAGCAUUUUAAAUUUCUUUCAUCGUAGAUCAAAAUCGGAAACGCAAAUUGAAAACAAAAUGAGAUCCCUCGUUGUCAUUGCAGUUUCCAUACUUGUUAUUGUAUGUAACUAUGUCAUCGCAGUUCCCAUUCCAGAUCAUUGCAAUGGUAACUACCCUGGUCACCAUAUGUUUUGUCACUGAGAACAUAGAGAACAUAUAAACGUACAUACUAUAACAUCGUCGCAUCUUAUCGCCAGACACAUCAUUAUAGCAUAUGCUAGCGACUCGUCUUGAGAUUACUGUUUCAUAAAUACUACCUAUAUUAUUUCAUGAUACUGUAACGCGAAAGCAGUGCUGUGUCACUAGUUUGUCACUUUAAAAUUCAUAUAACUACACAAAUGUACAAUUUCGUCACACCACAGGUAGCAACAUGCUGUGUAACAUGAUAGCGAUUCGUGUCGUGGGUACACUCAGUGCCGAAUUCAGAACAAGUGCCGCCUUAGGCCCUUUUAAAUAUGCCGCCCUUACACCAAGAAAAAAAAAUUUGGUAAAUAUUUAUAUGAUUUUUUUGUUCUAUUUCUUACAAAAUUUGCCGGCCUAGGCGUAAAUACGGCCCUGGGCACACUGCAACUUACAAUCAAUUGUAAAACAUCAUCGCAACUCACAGCAUUAACAUUAAUGCAUAUCGUUGCUACUCGCGUCGUAGGUAUACUGCUUUUAAAUAUUAUCUGUUGUCAUCUAUCCCACGACAAUUAAUCGCGAAUGAAGUAUCAUGUCACUACUUUUUGUCAAAAUUAUAUACAGAUCAAGUCAAUAUAUAAUCUUAUACAAAUCAAGUCAAUAUACAGCAUCUAUUAUAUGAUAAUUACCGUAAAUUACAUAUGUUACAAUCAGAUUUAAUGGUUUGUUUUAUUUACAAUACCUCAAUUAACCCUUAUCCUUAUACCCCACACCUGACAACCAAAAAUUACGUAUGCAUAUUACUUUCUUACUACAUUUGUACUCUUAAUUUAUUUUAUGAUGAAGUUCGACGUCUCGUUGUAGGUCUUGUUGGUAUUCGAAAACACACAGGUUAAGUUGAAAUCAAAUAAACUUGAUAUACAAAUAAUAUAAGUAUAUUUAAUAUAUAUUAUAUAUAUUAUAAGAUAGUAAUACUUAAAACAAAAGUAUUUAAAAAAAUUUUAGACAAAGGUUACGCUCUUGGCUGAGAACUAUGUGCAGUAAACUAUAAAAGUUUCGCUGACCGUAUUAAUUAUUAAUUAUUAUACCAGUAUUAUAUAGUUAGUAGAAAUAUGGCAAUUAAAAAUUGUAUAUUUUGCAUUUACAUAUACAAAUAUAUUUAAAAGAAAAGAAAUAUUAAAAUAAAAUACUUAUGAGCACAAUAAUUAGAAUUACAAGGAAAAAUUCGAUAAGGAAUUCUAAAUAAAUAGGUAAUAAUUAAUAGUAAUUGUGUGAUUGUGGAAUUAAAUCUGUCAGAAUAAACAUAGUUUAAAAACUUUAUUUAUGAUUUUGGACUAUAGUAUUUUGUUCACUUUUUACUCUUUUCAUCGGUACAUGUAGUACACAUUCAGUGGGUCGGAUAGUAUAGUAUACUUAAUUGAACUAUGACAAACCUUAACGGAUAAAUGUAAACGUGUAGUAAGUGAUCAUUUUAGUGCCUAUUGUAUAAAUGUACAGUAUAAUGACUAUAAUGUGUACACCUGUCACUAUACUGUGCACACUACAUCAUAUUACUUAGCAGUAUAUGCACACAGCAAACCGGUACUAAAAUGAGUAAAAUGUUUAUUUUAAUGUGAACUUGAAAUAUAAUUUACAUUUUAUAACUACCAAUAUAAUUAUAUAUUAAUUGUACACCAGCCAGCUACUGUCUACAAACUACUCUUGGACAUUUAUGCACGAUUUUUGAUCUCUAACAACUAAUAAGAGACAGUCUGACCUACUACCUAGGUAAACUUCGGGGGU